This 310-nucleotide long non-coding RNA is filed under the name Elaeis guineensis (African oil palm). RNAcentral's name for it is "long non-coding RNA (EGUI_LNC002823)". The record is from RNAcentral. Lineage: Eukaryota; Viridiplantae; Streptophyta; Magnoliopsida; Arecales; Arecaceae.
CUCGGUGACAAGCUCGCUCUGCUUCGGCACCGAGAUGUCCUUCAGCCAGUGGAAGUCCUCCCGAUCUUCAGCCUCCACCCGACUGUUCUCGUUCGGCUCGGUUCGGGGAUUCCCCCAACGGACGGAAAACCCCCAAGGAGCGGAAGACGACGCAAAGAAGAACUGGUUCUUCCAUCCGUGAAUGGAUGAUGGAAGACCAGUAAUGAAGGAGAGCCCUUUCCGAGGAACAAAGUACCACCACCCUCGGGCUUUAGGGUGGGGUCGGAGGAUGAAGAAGACUCGAAAAAGGGAGAUCCGGGGUUCAGUCGGC